Gossypium raimondii (Peruvian cotton) is the source of this 575-nucleotide long non-coding RNA. RefSeq lists it as uncharacterized. The transcript is spliced from 2 exons. The record is from RefSeq and is a predicted model, not a curated record. NCBI's taxonomy places the organism in Eukaryota, Viridiplantae, Streptophyta, Magnoliopsida, Malvales, Malvaceae.
CUAAAAAAACUGAAGGAGCCUCAAUUUUUUCUCAACACCCUCCCCUACAUUCGGCCUAGGCCUUCUCUAAGCCACCGUCGCGCCGCCGCCGCCGUGGCCAACGGCCGACGGCGAAAAAAAUGGGUUUUUUAACCUUCCCUUCGCAGCGUGCUAGAAGGUUGGCCUCUAUCAACCCGCAGGACCGAAAAAGGUCUUUAGUCCCCAACUUUCGGCUCCGACGACGGCGAAGAGAGCACCGACGCCGGGCUUGCAAGGCGACGAGGUGUCAGAGCAUGCGGAGGAAAGGCGGCUAGGAGCGGCGGUAGCCAGGCAUGGCAGAGGAGGCAAAACGGCGUUGGGGCUGGAGCCUGGGCAUGCGGCGCAUGGAGGCUUGGGGGCUAGGGUUUGGUACUGCUGAAUGGGGUUAAUUUUUGGGCUAGGGUUUCUUAAUUUGGGCCUGUUGGGUAUUUUGGGCCACUGUUUAUUUUGGACUGUAUGUUUUUUGCUGGUAUUGGGCUUUAGUGUUUUGGGCCCCGGGCAAAAUGGCUCUUACAUAUAUAAUUUUUGCAUUUUAAUUUUAAUUUUUAAUUAGUUAA